This 214-nucleotide ribosomal RNA is filed under the name Eciton hamatum. RNAcentral describes it as "partial large subunit ribosomal RNA". Lineage: Eukaryota; Metazoa; Arthropoda; Insecta; Hymenoptera; Formicidae. The record is from RNAcentral.
GAAUUUUAUAAAUAUUUUAUUAAAAUUAAUUAAUAUUUAUAUUUAUUUGGUUGGGGGGACAUUUAAAUUAAAAUAACUUUAAAUUAAUUGAUAACAUUAAUUAAUGAAUAAUUAAAUUAUAUUAGUGAUAAAAAUUAUGUUUAUAAUAGAAUAAAUUACCUUAGGGAUAACAGCAUUAUAUUUUUGGAGAGUUCAUAUUGAUAAAAAUGUUUGU